UGAGGAAUUUUGCGCAAUGGGAGCAAUCCUGACGCAGCAACGCCGCGUGGGUGAUGAAGGCCUUCGGGUCGUAAAGCCCUGUCAGGUGGGAAGAAUGUCCCGGAACUGAACAGGUUUCGGGAGUGACGGUACCACCAGAGGAAGCACCGGCUAACUCCGUGCCAGCAGCCGCGGUAAUACGGAGGGUGCAAGCGUUAUUCGGAAUUACUGGGCGUAAAGCGCGUGUAGGCGGUCCUGCAAGUCUGAUGUGAAAGCCCCGGGCUUAACCCGGGAAGUGCAUUGGAAACUGCAGGUCGUGAGUACUGGAGAGGAUGGGGGAAUUCCCGGUGUAGAGGUGAAAUUCGUAGAGAUCGGGAGGAAUAUCAGUGGCGAAGGCGUCCAUCUGGACGGUAACGGACGCUGAGACGCGAAAGCGUGGGGAGCAAACA
RNAcentral lists this ribosomal RNA (428 nucleotides) under uncultured prokaryote. RNAcentral describes it as "bacterial SSU rRNA". It matches the Rfam family "Bacterial small subunit ribosomal RNA", at positions 355 to 774 of the family's 1533-position model. The record is from RNAcentral.